AGAGUUUGAUCCUGGCUCAGGACGAACGCUGGCGGCGUGCCUAACACAUGCAAGUCGAGCGGGGUCCAACCGGUGGCAACACCGGGGACGACCUAGCGGCGAACGGGUGAGUAACACGUGAGAAACCUGCCCCGAAGUCUGGGAUAACCCGAGGAAACUCGAGCUAAUACCGGAUGCCCCCUGCGGAUCGCAUGGUCUGCAGAGGAAAGAUUCAUCGCUUCGGGAGGGUCUCGCGGCCUAUCAGCUAGUUGGUGAGGUAACGGCUCACCAAGGCUUCGGCGGGUAGCUGGUCUGAGAGGACGAUCAGCCACACUGGGACUGAGACACGGCCCAGACUCCUACGGGAGGCAGCAGUGGGGAAUCUUGCGCAAUGGGCGAAAGCCUGACGCAGCAACGCCGCGUGCGGGAAGAAGGCCUUCGGGUUGUAAACCGCUUUCAGUAGGGACGAAAACAGACGGUACCUACAGAAGAAGCCCCGGCCAACUACGUGCCAGCAGCCGCGGUAAU
Molecule: ribosomal RNA, 507 nt
Filed under: uncultured bacterium
Lineage: Bacteria
Description: bacterial SSU rRNA
Rfam family: Bacterial small subunit ribosomal RNA
Source: RNAcentral